GGCCGGAUUUACAUAGCAUCAACGUUACUCUGGCGUGUUACCAUUGAAGCAAUGCCACCCAAUCAUUACCACCACCGAACCUCCACCUCUACUUUCCCUCUCCCCCUACUUUGCUUAUGUAACACAAUUUUUGCCAAUCUUUAUUCUUAUUUUGUGUUUGGACUGAUUUACUGGGAGUUCGAAACCCCCAUGGCUUGCAUUAUUUUGUUUUUUCUAUUUUGUGGGUUCUUU
Molecule: long non-coding RNA, 231 nt
Filed under: Capsicum annuum
Lineage: Eukaryota; Viridiplantae; Streptophyta; Magnoliopsida; Solanales; Solanaceae
Description: long non-coding RNA (CANN_LNC008719)
Source: RNAcentral